Molecule: ribosomal RNA, 659 nt
Filed under: Lacticaseibacillus paracasei
Lineage: Bacteria; Bacillati; Bacillota; Bacilli; Lactobacillales; Lactobacillaceae
Description: bacterial SSU rRNA
Rfam family: Bacterial small subunit ribosomal RNA
Source: RNAcentral
CCUGGUAGUCCAUGCCGUAAACGAUGAAUGCUAGGUGUUGGAGGGUUUCCGCCCUUUCAGUGCCGCAGCUAACGCAUUAAGCAUUCCGCCUGGGGAGUACGACCGCAAGGUUGAAAACUCAAAGGAAUUGACGGGGGCCCGCACAAGCGGUGGAGCAUGUGGUUUAAUUCGAAGCAACGCGAAGAACCUUACCAGGUCUUGACAUCUUUUGAUCACCUGAGAGAUCAGGUUUCCCCUUCGGGGGCAGAAUGACAGGUGGUGCAUGGUUGUCGUCAGCUCGUGUCGUGAGAUGUUGGGUUAAGUCCCGCAACGAGCGCAACCCUUAUGACUAGUUGCCAGCAUUUAGUUGGGCACUCUAGUAAGACUGCCGGUGACAAACCGGAGGAAGGUGGGGAUGACGUCAAAUCAUCAUGCCCCUUAUGACCUGGGCUACACACGUGCUACAAUGGAUGGUACAACGAGUUGCGAGACCGCGAGGUCAAGCUAAUCUCUUAAAGCCAUUCUCAGUUCGGACUGUAGGCUGCAACUCGCCUACACGAAGUCGGAAUCGCUAGUAAUCGCGGAUCAGCACGCCGCGGUGAAUACGUUCCCGGGCCUUGUACACACCGCCCGUCACACCAUGAGAGUUUGUAACACCCGAAGCCGGUGGCGUAACCCUC